CCAUGCAUAUUCCAAUAGCGGAGGAAAAGAAACUAACAAGGAUUCCCCUAGUAGCGGCGAGCGAAAAGCGGGAAGAGCUCAAAUUUAUAAUCUGGCACCUUCGGUGUCCGAGUUGUAAUCUCUAGAAAUGUUUUCCGCGUUGGACCGCACACAAGUCUGUUGGAAUACAGCGGCAUAGUGGUGAGACCCCCGUAUAUGGUGCGGACGCCCAGCGCUUUGUGAUACAUUUUCGAAGAGUCGAGUUGUUUGGGAAUGCAGCUCAAAUUGGGUGGUAAAUUCCAUCUAAAGCUAAAUAUUGGCGAGAGACCGAUAGCGAACAAGUACCGUGAGGGAAAGAUGAAAAGCACUUUGGAAAGAGAGUUAACAGUACGUGAAAUUGUUGGAAGGGAAACGCUUGAAGUCAGACUUGCUUGCCGAGCAAUCGGUUUGCAGGCCAGCAUCAGUUUUCCGGGAUGGAUAAUGGUAGAGAGAAGGUAGCAGUUUCGGCUGUGUUAUAGCUCUCUGCUGGAUACAUCUUGGGGGACUGAGGAACGCAGUGUGCCUUUGGCGGGGGUUUCGACCUCUUCACACUUAGGAUGCUGGUGGAAUGGCUUUAAAGAAACACCCCUGUACACA
This 615-nucleotide ribosomal RNA is filed under the name Rhodotorula mucilaginosa. RNAcentral describes it as "partial large subunit ribosomal RNA". It matches the Rfam family "Eukaryotic large subunit ribosomal RNA", at positions 34 to 661 of the family's 3401-position model. The record is from RNAcentral. Lineage: Eukaryota; Fungi; Basidiomycota; Microbotryomycetes; Sporidiobolales; Sporidiobolaceae.